UCUUUUCCUUUUUUUCCAGCAGCCGCGGUAAUACGGAGGAUGCGAGCGUUAUCCGGAUUUAUUGGGUUUAAAGGGAGCGCAGACGGGUCGUUAAGUCAGCUGUGAAAGUUUGGGGCUCAACCUUAAAAUUGCAGUUGAUACUGGCGUCCUUGAGUGCGGUUGAGGUGUGCGGAAUUCGUGGUGUAGCGGUGAAAUGCUUAGAUAUCACGAAGAACUCCGAUUGCGAAGGCAGCACACUAAUCCGUAACUGACGUUCAUGCUCGAAAGUGUGGGUAUCAAACAGG
RNAcentral lists this ribosomal RNA (284 nucleotides) under Phocaeicola plebeius DSM 17135. RNAcentral describes it as "partial 16S ribosomal RNA". It matches the Rfam family "Bacterial small subunit ribosomal RNA", at positions 493 to 776 of the family's 1533-position model. The record is from RNAcentral. Lineage: Bacteria; Pseudomonadati; Bacteroidota; Bacteroidia; Bacteroidales; Bacteroidaceae.